RNAcentral lists this transfer RNA (68 nucleotides) under Marmota monax (woodchuck). RNAcentral's name for it is "tRNA.Ala". Lineage: Eukaryota; Metazoa; Chordata; Mammalia; Rodentia; Sciuridae. The record is from RNAcentral.
GCAUGUAACUCAGUGGUAGAGCACUUGCCUAGCAUGCUUGAAGCCCUGGGUUCCAUCCCAGCACUGGA